This 45-nucleotide transfer RNA is filed under the name Phocoena phocoena (harbor porpoise). RNAcentral describes it as "partial tRNA-Thr". Lineage: Eukaryota; Metazoa; Chordata; Mammalia; Artiodactyla; Phocoenidae. The record is from RNAcentral.
AGUCUUGUAAACCGAAAAAGGAGAACCUCACUCCUCCCUAAGACU